This 58-nucleotide transfer RNA is filed under the name Dipodomys ordii (Ord's kangaroo rat). It matches the Rfam family "tRNA", at positions 8 to 63 of the family's 71-position model. Rfam says of the family: Transfer RNA (tRNA) molecules are approximately 80 nucleotides in length. Their secondary structure includes four short double-helical elements and three loops (D, anti-codon, and T loops). Lineage: Eukaryota; Metazoa; Chordata; Mammalia; Rodentia; Heteromyidae. The record is from Rfam by way of RNAcentral.
UGGCUCAGUGGUAGAGUGCUUGCCUCACAUGCAUGAGGCCCUGGGUUCGAUUUCUCAG